UUCGAUUCCGGAGAGGGAGCCUGAGAAACGGCUACCACAUCCAAGGAAGGCAGCAGGCGCGCAAAUUACCCAAUCCCGACACGGGGAGGUAGUGACAAUAAAUAACAAUACGGGGCUCUUUCGGGUCUCGUAAUUGGAAUGAGUACAAUUUAAAUCCCUUAACGAGGAACAAUUGGAGGGCAAGUCUGGUGCCAGCAGCCGCGGUAAUUCCAGCUCCAAUAGCGUAUAUUAAAGUUGUUGCAGUUAAAAAGCUCGUAGUUGAAUUUCGGGAUUGACACAUCGGUCGUGCCUUAAGGGGUAUGAACUGGUGUAGUCAAUUUCUCACCUUCUGGAGAACCGCGAUGCCCUUAAUUGGGUGUCACGGGGAACCAGGACCUUUACUUUGAAAAAAUUAGAGUGUUUAAAGCAGGCAUUUUGCUUGAAUACAUUAGCAUGGAAUAAUAAAAUAGGACGGCAUGAUUCUAUUUUGUUGGUUUCUAGGAUCACCGUAAUGAUUAAUAGGGAUAGUUGGGGGCAUUAGUAUUCAAUUGUCAGAGGUGAAAUUCUUGGAUUUAUUGAAGACUAACUACUGCGAAAGCAUUUGCCAAGGAUGUUUUCAUUAAUCAAGAACGAAAGUUAGGGGAUCGAAGACGAUCAGAUACCGUCGUAGUCUUAACCAUAAACUAUGCCGACUAGGAAUCAGACGAUGUUAAUUUUUUAAU
RNAcentral lists this ribosomal RNA (701 nucleotides) under Entrophospora lamellosa. RNAcentral describes it as "SSU rRNA". It matches the Rfam family "Eukaryotic small subunit ribosomal RNA", at positions 376 to 1075 of the family's 1831-position model. Lineage: Eukaryota; Fungi; Glomeromycota; Glomeromycetes; Entrophosporales; Entrophosporaceae. The record is from RNAcentral.